UUAAAAACUGAGACAGGGAUCAAGUAGAUAUGAUUAACAUUUUAAAGAGAGUGGUGGAAGCUGGGAAUCCAUAAAUGUUACAUGUUGAAACUCCCCCUGGAGUUGUAAGCUGAACUUAUAGUAAGCUGUGCCGGUAGAAGCCGUUAUAAAAUAUGAGUAACAAAUUUGGGUGGUACCGCGGUAGACUUUCGCCCCAGGC
This 199-nucleotide non-coding RNA is filed under the name Clostridium kluyveri. RNAcentral's name for it is "T-box sequence". It matches the Rfam family "T-box leader". From Rfam's summary of the family: Uncharged tRNA acts as the effector for transcription antitermination of genes in the T-box leader family. T-boxes are found upstream of many aminoacyl-tRNA synthetase genes and some amino acid biosynthetic genes usually in Gram-positive bacteria. The anticodon of a specific tRNA base pairs to a specifier sequence within the T-box motif, and the NCCA acceptor tail of the tRNA base pairs to a conserved bulge in the T-box antiterminator hairpin. The record is from RNAcentral. Lineage: Bacteria; Bacillati; Bacillota; Clostridia; Eubacteriales; Clostridiaceae.